RNAcentral lists this transfer RNA (74 nucleotides) under Eucleoteuthis luminosa. RNAcentral describes it as "tRNA-Glu". Lineage: Eukaryota; Metazoa; Mollusca; Cephalopoda; Oegopsida; Ommastrephidae. The record is from RNAcentral.
GUUCUUAUAGUGUAGAGAGCACAUGAGAUUUUCAAUUUCAUAGGGCAUUGUAGUUAUAGUUAAUGCUAAGAAUA